Molecule: ribosomal RNA, 673 nt
Filed under: Inocybe fuscidula var. fuscidula
Lineage: Eukaryota; Fungi; Basidiomycota; Agaricomycetes; Agaricales; Inocybaceae
Description: eukaryotic LSU rRNA
Rfam family: Eukaryotic large subunit ribosomal RNA
Source: RNAcentral
UUGACCUCAAAUCAGGUAGGACUACCCGCUGAACUUAAGCAUAUCAAUAAGCGGAGGAAAAGAAACUAACAAGGAUUCCCCUAGUAACUGCGAGUGAAGCGGGAAAAGCUCAAAUUUGAAAUCUGGCAGUUUCUUGAACUGUCCGAAUUGUAAUCUAGAGAAGUGUUACCUGUGCUGGACCAUGUACAAGUCUCCUGGAAUGGAGCAUCACAGAGGGUGAGAAUCCCGUCUUUGACAUGGACUGCCUGUACGAUAUGGUGCGCUCUCGAAGAGUCGAGUUGUUUGGGAAUGCAGCUCAAAAUGGGUGGUAAAUGCCAUCUAAAGCUAAAUAUUGGCGAGAGACCGAUAGCGAACAAGUACCGUGAGGGAAAGAUGAAAAGAACUUUGGAAAGAGAGUUAAACAGUACGUGAAAUUGCUGAAAGGGAAACGCUUGAAGUCAGUCACGUCGGCUGGAAAUCAACUUUGCUUUUGCUUUGUGUACUUUCUGGUUGAUGGGUCAGCAUCAAUUUUGACCAUUGGAUAAAGUCAUUGGGAAUGUGGCAUCUUAGGAUGUGUUAUAGCCCGUUGUCGCAUACAGUGGUUGGGAUUGAGGAACUCAGCACGCCGCAAGGCCGGGUCUUUUGAUCACGUUCGUGCUUAGGAUGCUGGCAUAAUGGCUUUAAUCGACCCGUC